AAGUUGUUUGGUUACAGGUAAUGGAUAGGCACCCUAUUAGUUAUACUGGGCUACAACAAGUCAGCUCCUAGCACUGAGGCUAACUACAAAUUCCCCAUCUACAAUUAAAAAAUAUGAAGAAGGUAUAUCUUCAUUUAGGAUAUGCUAUAAAUAAGCUGCGUAUAAAUAAGAUACGCUAUGAAUAACCAUAAAAUACAAUGCAAUAAAAGGGUAAUAUGUAUGAGGUAAAUUAAAUGUCACAUUGGUAUUGGAUUUAAAGGGAUUAAAUAUUGAUAUGUAAAUAUGUAAUAUCUUUAUGUCCAAACUAUGUGGCAUAAAUAAAUACUAAAAUAAAAAUUUUCGCCAACAGUGUCAAAAACCCUGCCUGCUGUCCACAACAGUAUCCUCCUUGGAUAAGUGUGUUCAUUGUGUGAGACCUGUAACUUCCUUCAAGUGGCUUGGCUAUCGAUGCACAGAUGAGAUUGCGUUAAGUAAAGCUGAAGACAGUGGGAGCGAAUCUGAUAACGGCAACACAGAAGUUACAGCAUCAGAGUUUGGAACUGUGGAGCCUGUGGAUUUUGACUCUACAACCACAGAGCAAGACCAUGACAUUGGAGUCUUUGGAUCAGUGUCAUUUGUGUCGUCCACAGUAAAUGAGAGUGUACAUCCCUCUGAAGGGAAUUAUGCUGAUAAAGAACAUGGAUCCAGAAGAGUGGCAAAGAAAAUGUGGUCUAAGGCUGAGGUUGCUGCUGUAAUGCGACACUUCAAAGAUCAUA
Molecule: long non-coding RNA, 755 nt
Organism: Perca fluviatilis (European perch)
Lineage: Eukaryota; Metazoa; Chordata; Actinopteri; Perciformes; Percidae
Exons: 4
Source: RefSeq, a predicted model, not a curated record